Molecule: ribosomal RNA, 1246 nt
Filed under: uncultured bacterium
Lineage: Bacteria
Description: bacterial SSU rRNA
Rfam family: Bacterial small subunit ribosomal RNA
Source: RNAcentral
CAAGUCGAGCGGCAGCACGAGUAGUUUACUACUUGGUGGCGAGCGGCGGACGGCUGAGUAACGCGUGGGAACAUGCCCCAAAGUGAGGAAUAACUGCCCGAAAGGGUAGCUAAUGCCGCAUAUGAUCUUCGGACUAAAGGAUUUAUCCGCUUUGGGAGUGGCCUGCGUACGAUUAGAUAGUUGGUGAGGUAAAGGCUCACCAAGUCGACGAUCGUUAACUGGUUUGAGAGGAUGAUCAGUCAGACUGGAACUGGGACACGGUCCAGACUCCUACGGGAGGCAGCAGUAAGGAAUCUUCCACAAUGGACGAAAGUCUGAUGGAGCAACUCCGCGUGCAGGAUGAAGGCCUUUCGGGUCGUAAACUGCUUUUAUGAGUGAAGAAUAUGACGGUAACUCAUGAAUAAGGGUCGGCUAACUACGUGCCAGCAGCCGCGGUCAUACGUAGGACCCAAGCGUUAUCCGGAGUGACUGGGCGUAAAGAGUUGCGUAGGUGGUUUGUUAAGCGAAUAGUGAAAUCUGGCGGCUCAACCGUACAGACUAUUACUCGAACUGGCAAACUCGAGAAUGGUAGAGGUAACUGGAAUUUCUGAAGUAGGGGUAAUAUCCGUAGAUAUCAGAAGGAACACCAAUGGCGUAGGCAGGUUACUGGACCAUUUCUGACACUGAGGCACGAAAGCGUGGGGAGCGAACCGGAUUAGAUACCCGGGUAGUCCACGCCGUAAACGAUGGAUACUAGCUGUUGGAGGUAUCGACCCCUUCAGUAGCGAAGCUAACGCGUUAAGUAUCCCGCCUGUGGAGUACGGUCGCAAGACUAAAACAUAAAGGAAUUGACGGGGACCCGCACAAGCGGUGGAUUAUGUUCUUUAAUUCGAUGAUAAACGAAGAACCUUACCAGGGUUUGACAUCCUUGGAAUUACUACGAAAGUAGUGAGUGCUUUAUUGAGCCAAGUGACAGAUGUUGCAUGGCCGUCGUCAGCUCGUGUCGUGAGAUGUUUGGGUUAAGUCCAUCAACGAGCGCAACCCUUGUGAAUAGUUGUAUUUUUCUAUUCAGACUGCCCCGGUAACGGGGAGGAAGGAGGGGAUGAUGUCAGGUCAGUAUUACUCUUACAUCCUGGGCUAGAAACGUAAUACAAUGGCCGGUACAAUGCGCUGCGAAGCCGCGAGGUGAAGCAAAUCGCAUCAAAGCCGGUCCCAGUUCGGAUUGGAGGCUGAAACUCGCCUCCAUGAAGUCGGAAUCGCUAGUAAU